Molecule: ribosomal RNA, 500 nt
Filed under: uncultured bacterium
Lineage: Bacteria
Description: partial 16S ribosomal RNA
Rfam family: Bacterial small subunit ribosomal RNA
Source: RNAcentral
AAUCAACGCUGGCGGCGUGCCUAACACAUGCAAGUCGAACGCGAAAGCCCCGCAAGGGGUAAGUAGAGUGGCAAACGGGUGAGUAACACGUGGGUGACCUGCCUUCGAGUGGGGGAUAACGUCCCGAAAGGGACGCUAAUACCGCAUGACAUCCUGCUUUUGAAAAAGCGGAGAUCAAAGCUGGGGAUCGCAAGACCUAGCGCUUGAAGAGGGGCCCGCGCCUGAUUAGCUAGUUGGUGAGGUAACGGCUCACCAAGGCGACGAUCAGUAUCCGGCCUGAGAGGGCGGACGGACACACUGGGACUGAGACGCGGCCCAGACUCCUACGGGAGGCAGCAGUGGGGAAUUGUUCGCAAUGGGCGCAAGCCUGACGACGCAACGCCGCGUGGAGGACGAAGAUCUUCGGGUCGUAAACUCCUGUCGAGCGGGACGAACGCUUCGCGGAUGAAUAAUCCGCGGAAUUGACGGUACCGCUAAAGGAAGCCCCGGCUAACUCCGUG